CUUAAACACAUGCAAGUCGAACGGAGAUAGGAAGAGCUUUGGACUCUUCCCGAAUCUUAGUGGGGAACGGGUGAGUAAACGCGUGAGCAACCUGCCUUUUCAGAGGGGGACAACGUUUGGAAACGAACGCUAAUACCGCAUAAGAUCGUAGGGCCACAUGGUCCAGCGACCAAAGGAGCAAUCCGCUGAAAGAUGGGCUCGCGUCUGAUUAGAUAGUUGGUGGGGUAACGGCCUACCAAGUCGACGAUCAGUAGCCGGACUGAGAGGUUGAACGGCCACAUUGGGACUGAGAUACGGCCCCAGACUCCUACGGGGAGGCAGCAGUGGGGAAUAUUGCACAAUGGGGGAAACCCCUGAUGCAGCAACGCCGCGUGAAGGAUGACGGUUUUUCGGAUUGUAAACUUCUAGUUCUCGUUGACGAAGACAGUUGACGGUAAACGAGGAGCAAGCCACGGCUAACUACGUGCCAGCAGCCGCGGUAA
This 482-nucleotide ribosomal RNA is filed under the name uncultured bacterium. RNAcentral describes it as "bacterial SSU rRNA". It matches the Rfam family "Bacterial small subunit ribosomal RNA", at positions 47 to 523 of the family's 1533-position model. The record is from RNAcentral.